RNAcentral lists this unclassified non-coding RNA (197 nucleotides) under plant metagenome. RNAcentral describes it as "partial contains small subunit ribosomal RNA, internal transcribed spacer 1, and 5.8S ribosomal RNA". The record is from RNAcentral.
UCUCCGUUGGUGAGCCAGCGGAGGGAUCAUUACCGAGUGCAAACUCAUAACCCUUUGUGAACCUAUAUCUGUUGCUUCGGCGGCUCGCUCUCGGGCGAGCCCGCCGGUAAUAUCAGUAUCUCUGUUUGAACCCGACGAUACUUCUGAGUGUUCUUAGCGAACAGUUAAAACUUUUAACAACGGAUCUCUUGGCUCUA